CUAAUACAUGCAAGUCGAGCGGACCGACGGGAGCUUGCUCCCUUAGGUCAGCGGCGGACGGGUGAGUAACACGUGGGUAACCUGCCUGUAAGACUGGGAUAACUCCGGGAAACCGGGGCUAAUACCGGAUGCUUGAUUGAACCGCAUGGUUCAAUCAUAAAAGGUGGCUUUUAGCUACCACUUACAGAUGGACCCGCGGCGCAUUAGCUAGUUGGUGAGGUAACGGCUCACCAAGGCGACGAUGCGUAGCCGACCUGAGAGGGUGAUCGGCCACACUGGGACUGAGACACGGCCCAGACUCCUACGGGAGGCAGCAGUAGGGAAUCUUCCGCAAUGGACGAAAGUCUGACGGAGCAACGCCGCGUGAGUGAUGAAGGUUUUCGGAUCGUAAAACUCUGUUGUUAGGGAAGAACAAGUACCGUUCGAAUAGGGCGGCACCUUGACGGUACCUAACCAGAAAGCCACGGCUAACUACGUGCCAGCAGCCGCGGUAAUACGUAGGUGGCAAGCGUUGUCCGGAAUUAUUGGGCGUAAAGCGCGCGCAGGCGGUUUCUUAAGUCUGAUGUGAAAGCCCCCGGCUCAACCGGGGAGGGUCAUUGGAAACUGGGGAACUUGAGUGCAGAAGAGGAGAGUGGAAUUCCACGUGUAGCGGUGAAAUGCGUAGAGAUGUGGAGGAACACCAGUGGCGAAGGCGACUCUCUGGUCUGUAACUGACGCUG
RNAcentral lists this ribosomal RNA (719 nucleotides) under uncultured Bacillus sp. Its description in RNAcentral is "bacterial SSU rRNA". It matches the Rfam family "Bacterial small subunit ribosomal RNA", at positions 48 to 748 of the family's 1533-position model. Lineage: Bacteria; Bacillati; Bacillota; Bacilli; Caryophanales; Bacillaceae. The record is from RNAcentral.